AUGUGUGUGGGGGGGUUAUUUGCCAUUUUUUCUCUUUCCUUUUUUUUUCUCUCCUUCUUUUUGAGCCAUUUUUUCUCUUUCCCUUUUCCCUUUCCCUUUUUUCUCUUGCCUCUUUUCUCUUCCAUUUUCCCUUUCCUUUUUUCCCAUCCUUUUUUCUCUUUAUAUUUUUUGUCUUCCUUUUUCUCUUUCCAGUCUUCAUUUCUUUUUUCUCCUUUUUCCCUUCUUUCUUUCUUGCUUCUUGUUUCUUUUUCUUCUUUUUCUCUUUUCCACUUUCCUUUUUUCUUAUUCCAUUUCCCUUUUCUUUUUCUGCCCCUUUCCUUUCCUUUCCUUUCCUUUCCUUUCCUUUCCUUUCCUUUCCUUUCCUUUCCUUUCCUCCUUCCUUUUUUCCGUCCUUUUUACUCUUCCCCUUUUUCUUUCCUCUCCUUUCCCUUUUCAUUCCUUUCCUUUCCUUUUUCUCUUGACUUAUUUUCUCUUUCCUUUUACUCUUUCCAUUUUUCUCCUCUUUUUUUGCCUUCCCUUUUUUCUCUUUCCUUCUUUUAUCUUCCUCAUUUUCUCUUUUCCUUUUUCUCUUUCUUUCUUCUCUUCCCUUUCUUCUCUUUCUUCUCUUUCCUCCUUUCUUUCCUUUUCUCUUUUCCUUUUCCUCUUUCCUUUGUCUUCCUUUCUUCUCUCUCCAGUCUUUCUUUCUCUUUUCUCCUUUUUCUUUCCUUUCUUUUUUCUCUUCCUUUGUCCUUCCUUCUCUUUCUUUUGGCUCUUUCCUUUUUGCUCUUCCCUUUUUUCUCUCCUCUUUCCUGUUCCCACCCUUGCAUUCUUCUCUUUCAUUUUGUCUCUUCUUUUGCUUUCCCUUCGUUCCCUUUGCUUUCUCCCCUUUUCUUGGUUAUUUCUUUUUUCUCUCUCCUUCUUUCUUUUUUCCUACCUUACCCUCUUUACCUUUUCUUUUUUUCUCUCUUUUUUUCCUUUCAUUCCUUUCUUUCUUUUAUUUCCUUUUUCUUUCCUUUUUCCUUUCCUUUCUUUCUUUCCUUCCCUUUUUCACUGGCUAUUUCUUUUUGCAUUCAUUCCAUGGUUAGCUGUUUCAGAAAGGAACCCUGGAUGUUUCCUUGCAGGCUUGAUCUCUUUUUGGCUCAUGCAAGCAAGCCUGAAGCUCCUGAUCCUUGCCCCCCAGCCCACCCUGUUUCUUACACUCAAAGCACCUCCGGCCAGCCCAGUCUGCCUCAGUACCUGCCCACGACGACCCUGUGGGGCUCUGAUGCCUCCUGCCCCAGGCUCAGCAUGCAACAGUGA
RNAcentral lists this long non-coding RNA (1278 nucleotides) under Apteryx haastii (Great spotted kiwi). RNAcentral's name for it is "lncRNA (ENSAHAG00000008097.1)". The record is from RNAcentral. Lineage: Eukaryota; Metazoa; Chordata; Aves; Apterygiformes; Apterygidae.